RNAcentral lists this ribosomal RNA (253 nucleotides) under uncultured bacterium. RNAcentral describes it as "partial 16S ribosomal RNA". It matches the Rfam family "Bacterial small subunit ribosomal RNA", at positions 524 to 776 of the family's 1533-position model. The record is from RNAcentral.
UACAGAGGGUGCAAACGUUGCUCGGAAUUAUUGGGCGUAAAGCGCGUGUAGGCGGCUUGUUAAGUUGGUUGUGAAAACCCAUGGCUCAACCAUGGAAGGGCGUCCAAAACUGGCAAGCUAGAGUCCCGACGAGGAUGGCGGAAUUCCCAGUGUAGAGGUGAAAUUCGUAGAUAUUGGGAAGAACACCGGUGGCGAAGGCGGCUCACUGGCUCAUAUCUGACGCUCAGGCGCGACAGCGUGGGGAUCAAACAGG